This 379-nucleotide ribosomal RNA is filed under the name uncultured delta proteobacterium. RNAcentral describes it as "bacterial SSU rRNA". It matches the Rfam family "Bacterial small subunit ribosomal RNA", at positions 434 to 809 of the family's 1533-position model. The record is from RNAcentral. Lineage: Bacteria; Deltaproteobacteria.
CAGGCGGGACGAAGACGCAGGCCGUGGACGGUCUGCGUUUGACGGACCCGCCGAAGGAAGCACCGGCCAACUCCGUGCCAGCAGCCGCGGUAAGACGGAGGGUGCAAGCGUUGUUCGGAAUCAUUGGGCGUAAAGGGUGCGCAGGCGGCCGCGCAAGUCCGGUGUGAAAGCCCAGGGCUCAACCCUGGAAUCGCAUCGGAAACUGUGUGGCUUGAGUCCGGGAGGGGCCAGUGGAAUUCCUGGUGUAGGGGUGAAAUCCGUAGAUAUCAGGAGGAACACCGGCGGCGAAAGCGACUGGCUGGACCGGGACUGACGCUGAAGCUCGAAAGCGUGGGCAGCGAACAGGAUUAGAUACCCUGGUAGUCCGCGCCAUAAACGA